Molecule: ribosomal RNA, 395 nt
Filed under: uncultured bacterium
Lineage: Bacteria
Description: partial 16S ribosomal RNA
Rfam family: Bacterial small subunit ribosomal RNA
Source: RNAcentral
AUACGUAGGGUGCAAGCGUUAAUCGGAAUUACUGGGCGUAGAGCGUGCGCAGGCGGUUUUGUAAGACAGUGGUGAAAUCCCCGGGCUCAACCUGGGAACUGCCAUUGUGACUGCAAGGCUGGAGUGCGGCAGAGGGGGAUGGAAUUCCGCGUGUAGCAGUGAAAAGCGUAGAUAUGCGGAGGAACACCGAUGGCGAAGGCAAUCCCCUGGGCCUGCACUGACGCUCAUGCACGAAAGCGUGGGGAGCAAACAGGAUUAGAUACCCUGGUAGUCCACGCCCUAAACGAUGUCAACUGGUUGUUGGGGGUUUAUUUUCUCAGUAACGAAGCUAACGCGUGAAGUUGACCGCCUGGGGAGUACGGCCGCAAGGUUAAAACUCAAAUGAAUUGACGGGG